AGAACUUUAUUGAAACAACAAAAGUACAGUGAUUUACGUAAGGUCUGUAACGGACACAAAAGAUUUAACCUACGUACAAGACUAUCAAUAGACAAACACGCGGACACAUCCGUUUUCAGUAUAAUUCUGCAUAUUAGAAAUGUACUAUUUAGUUGCUAUUUUUAACGUAACUCUGAGUCUUCUGUCUUCUAAGGUUCAGUGCCAUCCUACGAAUAUUCACUAUACGGGAUCAUCGGCGUCUAUGCUAUCUCCAUCCUGUUCUCCAUCCUGCUGAUCCUGGGCGCCGUGAAGAACAACGGCUGCCUGUGCCUUGCUUGGAUCAUCUGGUCCAGCAUCUGUUUGUUCCUGUACAUCGUCCUGGCAGUGGCGCUCUGUUUUUUGGCUUGGGGUGUUGGUUUUGCCGGUAGUCUCGUAGCACAAUCGUCUGCCCUUGGAGCAGCCGCAAUCGGCGCCUAUGGAGUCAUUGCUGUCUACAUCCCGCUCGCCAUCGUCGC
Molecule: long non-coding RNA, 494 nt
Organism: Branchiostoma belcheri (Belcher's lancelet)
Lineage: Eukaryota; Metazoa; Chordata; Leptocardii; Amphioxiformes; Branchiostomatidae
Exons: 3
Source: RefSeq, a predicted model, not a curated record